This 256-nucleotide ribosomal RNA is filed under the name uncultured bacterium. RNAcentral describes it as "partial 16S ribosomal RNA". It matches the Rfam family "Bacterial small subunit ribosomal RNA", at positions 521 to 776 of the family's 1533-position model. The record is from RNAcentral.
UAAUACAGGGGGUGCGAGCGUUAUUCGGAAUUAUUGGGCGUAAAGAGCGUGUAGGUGGUUUGUUAAGUCUGAUGUGAAAGCCCUGGGCUCAAUCCAGGAAGUGCAUUGGAUACUGGCAGACUAGAGUGCAGGAGAGGUGAGCGGAAUUCCCGGUGUAGAGGUGAAAUUCGUAGAUAUCGGGAGGAACAACAGAAGCGAAGGCGGCUCACUGGACUGUUACUGACACUAAGGCGCGAAAGCGUGGGGAGCAAACAGG